UAGAAUAAACUUGAACAGGCUGUUGCUCUUUAUUGGUGCACGCUUGUCAUAUUUAUCUUCUCCAACUGUGCACACAUUGUAGACCUCACAGUCUAUGUUAUUUUUAUCACAACCUCUGAAUGUUUUGAAUGUUUUGAAAUUGAUGGAAUGUUAUA
Molecule: unclassified non-coding RNA, 155 nt
Filed under: uncultured fungus
Lineage: Eukaryota; Fungi
Description: sequence contains ITS1
Source: RNAcentral